GCAUAUCAAUAAGCGGAGGAAAAGAAACCAACAGGGAUUGCCUUAGUAACGGCGAGUGAAGCGGCAACAGCUCAAAUUUGAAAUCUGGCCUCUUUGGGGUCCGAGUUGUAAUUUGGAGAGGAUGUUUCGGGUACGGUCCGGGCUUAUAUUUCUUGGAACAGAAUGUCAUAGAGGGUGAGAAUCCCGUCUGGAGUCCGGACACGGCCUAUGUGAAACUCCUUCGACGAGUCGAGUUGUUUGGGAAUGCAGCUCUAAAUGGGUGGUAAAUUUCAUCUAAAGCUAAAUAUUGGCCAGAGACCGAUAGCGCACAAGUAGAGUGAUCGAAAGAUGAAAAGCACUUUGAAAAGAGAGUUAAAAAGUACGUGAAAUUGUUGAAAGGGAAGCGCUGGCAACCAGACUUGCACGUCGGGGUUCCCCCUUGCUUUUGCCUGGGUUACUCCCCGGCGUUCAGGCCAACAUCGGUUUCGGGGGUUGGUUAAAGGCCUUAGGAAUGUACUUACCCUCCGGGGUAAACUUAUAGCCUAGGGUGUCAUGCGACCUCCCGGGACCGAGGAACGCGCUUCGGCUCGGAUGUUGGCGUAAUGGUUGUCAGCGACCCGUCUUGAAACACGGACCAAGGAGUCUAACAUCUAUGCGAGUGUUAGGGUGUCAAAAACCCUUACGCGGAAUGAAAGUGAACGGAGGUAGGAAGCCGUUAGGCUGCACUAUCGACCGAUCCUGAAGUUUACGGAUGGAUUUGAGUAAGAGCAUAGCUGUUGGGACCCGAAAGAUGGUGAACUAUGCCUGAAUAGGGUGAAGCCAGAGGAAACUCUGGUGGAGGCUCGCAGCGGUUCUGACGUGCAAAUCGAUCGUCAAAUUUGGGUAUAGGGGCGAAAGACUAAUCGAACCAUYUGGUAGCUGGUUCCUGCG
This 909-nucleotide ribosomal RNA is filed under the name Cyphellophora aestiva. Its description in RNAcentral is "partial large subunit ribosomal RNA". It matches the Rfam family "Eukaryotic large subunit ribosomal RNA", at positions 38 to 962 of the family's 3401-position model. The record is from RNAcentral. Lineage: Eukaryota; Fungi; Ascomycota; Eurotiomycetes; Chaetothyriales; Cyphellophoraceae.